RNAcentral lists this ribosomal RNA (542 nucleotides) under uncultured Glomeromycotina. RNAcentral's name for it is "SSU rRNA". It matches the Rfam family "Eukaryotic small subunit ribosomal RNA", at positions 550 to 1097 of the family's 1831-position model. Lineage: Eukaryota; Fungi; Glomeromycota. The record is from RNAcentral.
GGAGGGCAAGUCUGGUGCCAGCAGCCGCGGUAAUUCCAGCUCCAAUAGCGUAUAUUAAAGUUGUUGCAGUUAAAAGGCUCGUAGUUGAAUUUCGGGGUUCUACCGUUGGUCGGGCUUUGUCAGUACUGGUGUGUAGAAUUUCUACCUUCUGGGGAACCAUCAUGCUAUUAAUUUAGCGUGGUGGGAAACCAGGACCUUUACCUUGAAAAAAUUAGUGUGUUCAAAGCAGGCUUAUGUCUGAAUACAUUAGCGUGGAAUAAUAGAAUAGGACGGUGGUCCUGUUUUGUUGGUUUCUGAAUCACCGUAAUGAUUAAUAGGGAUAGUUGGGGGGCAUUAGUAUUCAAUUGUCAGAGGUGAAAUUCUUGGAUUUAUUGAAGACUAACUUCUGCGAAAGCAUUUGCCAAGGAUGUUUUCAUUAAUCAAGAACGAAAGUUAGGGGAUCGAAGACGAUCAGAUACCGUCGUAGUCUUAACCAUAAACUAUGCCGACUAGGGAUCGGACGAUGUUAAUUUUUCUUGACUCGUUCGGCGCCUUACGGGAAA